ACAGGAUCGCCUGUUUAUCAAAAACAUAUACGUGAUCUGAGUUCAGACCGGAUCGCCGGUUUAUCGUAAACAUAUACUUUGCCCUUUUUCUGACCGGAAGACCGGUUGGUUUUACGGUAGAGAGUCUGUUUUAAUAAUAAGUAAAGAAGUUAACUUUUAAGUGAAAAGGCUUAAGUGUUUUUAAAAGACGAGAAGACCCCGUCGAGCUUAAUUAUUCUUUGGUUUUUUAGAUUAAAGAUGAAAUUUUAUUGGGGCAAUAGGAAACGAAGUGAUCGUUUUUUGUUUUUAUUUGGAUCCAGUUUGAUUGAAAAAAGCAAAAGCUACCGCGGGGAUAACAGGGUAAUUUUUUCUGAGAGUUCGAAUUAAAGAGAAAGAUUGCUACCUCGAUGUUGGAAUAGAGUUUCUUUAUGCUUGCAGCAGGUAUAUAAGUGGGACUGUUCGUCCUUUAAAACUUUACGUGAUCUGAUUUCAGACCG
RNAcentral lists this ribosomal RNA (476 nucleotides) under Villorita cyprinoides. Its description in RNAcentral is "partial large subunit ribosomal RNA". The stretch from base 156 to 476 matches the Rfam family "Bacterial large subunit ribosomal RNA", at positions 2048 to 2618 of the family's 2925-position model. The record is from RNAcentral. Lineage: Eukaryota; Metazoa; Mollusca; Bivalvia; Venerida; Cyrenidae.